This 265-nucleotide ribosomal RNA is filed under the name uncultured prokaryote. RNAcentral's name for it is "partial 16S ribosomal RNA". It matches the Rfam family "Bacterial small subunit ribosomal RNA", at positions 355 to 610 of the family's 1533-position model. The record is from RNAcentral.
UCGAGAAUCUUUCACAAUGGGGGAAACCCUGAUGGAGCGACGCCGCGUGGAGGACGAAGGCCUUCGGGUCGUAAACUCCUGUCACCGGGGGCCAAUACCGGCGCGUCGAAAGGCGCGAUCGGGGCGAUGGUACCCGGAGAGGAAGAGACGGCUAACUCUGUGCCAGCAGCCGCGGUAAUACAGAGGUCUCAAGCGUUGUUCGGAUUUACUGGGCGUAACGGGUGCGGAGGCGGCCCGUGGUGUCAGCUGUGAAAGGCCGGGGCUC